Molecule: transfer RNA, 77 nt
Filed under: Alphaproteobacteria bacterium
Lineage: Bacteria; Pseudomonadati; Pseudomonadota; Alphaproteobacteria
Description: tRNA-Arg
Rfam family: tRNA
About the family: Transfer RNA (tRNA) molecules are approximately 80 nucleotides in length. Their secondary structure includes four short double-helical elements and three loops (D, anti-codon, and T loops).
Source: RNAcentral
GCGCUCGUAGCUCAGUAGGAUAGAGCGCGGGAUUCCUAAUCCCGAGGUCGCAGGUUCGAAUCCUGCCGGGCGCACCA